UUCUGCUGCUGUUGUUGUUGCUGGUUCUGUGUGAACUCUUGGGCACUGCUGUCUAUGCUGUAGCCGGUGAUACUGUCAGGGCUCUGUAGCGAAGCCGCGUACAGGGGAUUCACCGGCGUUGAGUUCACGUCGAACUGCGUCGAGUCAUAGACGCUGUGAUUCUACAAGCAGAAAAAUAAAGGAAAUACGUUUUUGGAUAUUUUUUGUUUGUAGUUUCAGUUAUUGGCUGUGAGUUCUUGAGUUGUGUAACCCGUACUUAGAGUCUAUAGAACUAAUUUAAAAAGAUUUUAACGCAUAUUAUAAUAAUAAUAUGGCAAGCUCUUACGAAACUAGGCGACGCAGAGAUAAGGUACAAUAGCCAAUUUCAUUUUCGAUAUGCUGGUCUGUCAGAAGCCUUAUUGAGGGAUGAAUCGGUCAAACAGAGGCAAUUGCAAGUAUAAAAUGGUUCAAAUUGAUCACACCAGCAACUGCCUUGAUCGUCUGGAUAAAUGAAACAAAUAACACUGACUACUACAACAAAACGUUUAAUCGAGUUCAGCCCAAAUAUUUACAAAUAGAUAAAAAACGGGGCAAGAUAGCAUCAUUUUCUGGUAAAAAAAUUUUUACUAGAUAACUUUUUAAAAGCAGCCAAAUGUUAUUUACAAUGAGAAUCAACAACGCACUGUUUUAGAAACAGAAUCUCUUUUUCCACAUCGUUGCGUAACGAUAAUUGUUUAGUGUUUAAUGUACCGAUUUCGUGGCUUUUAGCCACUCAAAUGUUCAACUUUUGCGCUUACGCAAUACAGUUCUUAAUAAAAAAAAUACUGCCUGUCCAAUGGUGUAUGCCAAGUCUCAAAAAAAA
Molecule: long non-coding RNA, 841 nt
Organism: Nasonia vitripennis (jewel wasp)
Lineage: Eukaryota; Metazoa; Arthropoda; Insecta; Hymenoptera; Pteromalidae
Exons: 2
Source: RefSeq, a predicted model, not a curated record